GACGAACGCUGGCGGCGUGCCUAAUACAUGCAAGUAGGACGCAGUUGCGAACGGGUCAGUAACGCGUAGGUAACUGCCUAUUAGAGGGGGAUAACUAUUGGAAACGAUAGCUAAUACCGCAUACUAGUAGAUGGACCUACGUUGUAUUAGCUAGUAGGUAGGGUAAUGGGCUAACUAGGCGAAGAUACAUAGCCGACCUGAGAGGGGGAGCGGCCACACUUGGACUGAGACACGGGCCAGACUCCCUCGGGAGGCAGCAGUAGGGAAUCUUCGGGAAUGGGGGGAACCCUGACCGAGCAACGCCGGGGGAGUGAAGAAGGUUUUCGGAUCGUAAAGCUCUGUUGGUAAGGAAGCGGUACUUAACCAGAAAGGGACGGCUAACUACGUGCCAGCAGCCGCGGUAAUAC
This 407-nucleotide ribosomal RNA is filed under the name uncultured bacterium. Its description in RNAcentral is "partial 16S ribosomal RNA". It matches the Rfam family "Bacterial small subunit ribosomal RNA", at positions 28 to 526 of the family's 1533-position model. The record is from RNAcentral.